GACGAACGCUGGCGGCGUGCUUAACACAUGCAAGUCGAGCGAGAAACCUUCGGGUUUCUAGCGGCGGACGGGUGAGUAACACGUGGGUAACCUGCCUCAAAGAGGGGGAUAGCCUUCCGAAAGGAAGAUUAAUACCGCAUAAUAUUACAGUUUCGCAUGAAGCAGUACUUAAAGGAGUAAUCCGCUUUGCGAUGGACCCGCGGCGCAUUAGCUAGUGGGAGAGGUAACGGCUCACCAAGGCAACGAUGCGUAGCCGACAUGAGAGGGUGAUCGGCCACAUUGGAACUGAGACACGGUCAGGACUCGUACGGGAGGCAGCGGUGGGGAAAAUUGCACAAUGGGCGAAAGCCUGAUGCAGCAACGCCGCGUGAGUAAUGAAGGUCGUCGGAUUGUAAAGCUCUGUCUUUUGGGACGAUAAUGACGGUACCAAAGGAGGAAGCCACGGCUAACUACGUGCCAGCCGCCGCCGUAA
RNAcentral lists this ribosomal RNA (472 nucleotides) under uncultured bacterium. Its description in RNAcentral is "partial 16S ribosomal RNA". It matches the Rfam family "Bacterial small subunit ribosomal RNA", at positions 28 to 523 of the family's 1533-position model. The record is from RNAcentral.